This 21-nucleotide microRNA is filed under the name Ananas comosus (pineapple). RNAcentral describes it as "microRNA s0625_c84a". The record is from RNAcentral. Lineage: Eukaryota; Viridiplantae; Streptophyta; Magnoliopsida; Poales; Bromeliaceae.
AUCCAAUCCAUAAUUAAUCCU